UAGUCUCCACAUGUAAAACAGUUGGCUG
Molecule: non-coding RNA, 28 nt
Filed under: Mus musculus (house mouse)
Lineage: Eukaryota; Metazoa; Chordata; Mammalia; Rodentia; Muridae
Source: RNAcentral